UACGAAGGGGGCUAGCGUUGCUCGGAAUCACUGGGCGUAAAGCGCACGUAGGCGGCUUUCUAAGUCAGGGGUGAAAUCCUGGAGCUCAACUCCAGAACUGCCUUUGAUACUGGAGAGCUUGAGUCCGGAAGAGGUGAGUGGAACUCCGAGUGUAGAGGUGAAAUUCGUAGAUAUUAGGAAGAACACCAGUGGCGAAGGCGGCUCACUGGCCCGGUACUGACGCUGAGGUGCGAAAGCGUGGGGAGCAAACAGG
This 253-nucleotide ribosomal RNA is filed under the name uncultured bacterium. RNAcentral describes it as "partial 16S ribosomal RNA". It matches the Rfam family "Bacterial small subunit ribosomal RNA", at positions 524 to 776 of the family's 1533-position model. The record is from RNAcentral.